GCCAAACAAGGAUGGCACUCUGCAUCCCAUUUUGGAUCUCAGAGUGUUGGACCUUAUGAAUGGUGGAAAAACCUUUUCCACUAUUAAGGGAUUGUGCCUUACCUGGCACUGGGCAUGUACUCUUGUCUGUCAGGCCAGACUUGGUGCAAUUGGAUGCUUCUGCAGAAGUCAGACACGGAUGCCCUUUCCAUAUUUGUAUCUCUCCACUCAAUAGUUCAAAGAACCGGGUUUACAAAAAUAACCUAUUGUUUUGCAUGGUCUAGCACAGGGGUGCAAAUAGUUUAGUUCUAUCCCUGCUCCAACACAAAUACCAUAUCGUUUUCAAAUAAGCAUGAAGGACUUGAUGGGCUGGAUCAGGUGUGUUUAAUUAGGGUUGUACUCGGAAGUUGGAAAUUCUGAGUUCCCAGUAGGAACUUUUAACUGGAAUGCCAAGUUGGAGUUGUGACUCGGAAUCUCGGAUGAAUUGCAACAACUCCAACUUCAGAAUCCAAUAUGGCUGCUCAUAUUGGUGAUGAUUGGUCACAUAUGUGCUAAGCAGUCCAAUCAUUUUUCUCUCAUUUCAUGCAAAAUUCAUAAAGUAAUUGACACAGACUGCUAUGACUUUGAGUCAUCCAAUAAAACGCUCAAAUCUGCAAAGCAAGCCACAUCACAGAACAAGGAGAGUUUGUAAAUGAACUGCAUGCAUAAGAGUUGCAUUACCAUUUAUUUUAGCCAUUUGAGACAGAAAACAUCAUACUAAAGUAAUGACUGUAUGUAUGUGUGUACUGUAAAUGAUGGCGAAAUAGCUCCGCCCACUGGAGAGUCUCCACGCCCCUCCCACCGCGCAGCAGAACCCGCCCUAAAGGACACUGUGCGCUCCGGUAGAGAAACACUUAACACUUCCAAGACACGGGCUGCUCUGGAAUUUUCUCUGGCGCAUUUCACGAGUCCUUACAUAUGAGAAGAUGCAUUCGGAGAACCUUGAGACAGCGGUCUCGCUGAGGAAACGGACGCUGUCCCGGGGGAUGAGCGAGGACGAGUCUCUGCGACACAUUAUCAGAGACGCGGAAGAAUCGAGCAGACAGCUGUCACGCAGCGAUAGCAGAUAUGGAUCGUUAAAACGAGGACAAAGACAAGAAAGCCAUAGUGAAGCUGAUUUACUUUCUGAAAACAUAGAAACUAUGGAGCUGAGAGCGAGCUACGAGGACUGUCUGCAGGAGGUGCGGAGCCUGGAGCUGCAGCAGGAGGCUCUUCUGUUCCAGGUGGACUGUCUUCAGGACGCCCUCGAGGGCGCCGAGGAGAUGCUCGCUGAGACCCAGAGAGACAAUCACAGUCUCACCAUGGAACUGGAGCGAGAACGAGGGAAGAGGAGGACGUCGGAGGACAAGCUUGCCUCAUUAAAGCGGGAGCUGGAGAGGUUACGAGAGGACAGAAACAGUGAGCAGCUUCAGUGGAGCGAGGGGACGUCAGUGGACUGGGACGAUCAGCCGCUCGCUCACAGUGAAGGCUCUGCAGUGGAUCUGAACACAAGCCAGCUCUUACAACUCAAGAAAGUCAGCAACCAAACAUUAAGUCUGUCAGUGUUUCACAGUCAGAAGCACGAAGCUCAGGGUUCAGAUGAUAACGAUGAAAGCAGCGGCUAUGAAGAUGCUCCGUCUGAGUUCUCCCCCAGUCCUUCCACUCCGGACGCAGCUGAUGAAGAGGGCGGCGGGACCUAUGACUCAGAGCCUGGGAUCCCUAAAAGUGCAGAUUCUUGUGCUCUCUCUUAGAUCAUUCUCAAAGUGCCGAUGAACCUAGAUUGAUUCAAUUCUCUGCUAGAAAUCUUUAUCCAAGGUUCUUUCUCUUUAACAGCCUUUGCACAAGCUAACAACUUUAAAAUGAAGACUACUUUGUUUUACCAAUCAGUCCACAAAAUGAUAUAUUAUAGUUAGACUUCUGUUCACCUUGCUAUUAAAGAUGCGCUGUCCAGCAAGUCAAGACACAAGGUAAUACUUUGUAUCUGUAUUUCAGCCUUAAUGAUAUAAAAUGUAAUUUUAGUUUUCAUAUCGUAUUAAUAAUCAAGUUACACGAAUCACUUUAAGGACAGAAUGCAGAGAGGCGUUCUUUGAAAGCUGGCGGUGUUUUCACAGGGAAUGCAUUGCUUGUGCUGGAUGACUCUGGAGAAGUCAAACUCUGAGCUGACGUGCCCUGAUCGACGAGCAGGCCCUGCACUUGCAUUUAUUCUAGAAAUACUCAACCUCGACUGAGCAGCAUGUUUCUGUGCACGUCCUCUAUACACUUUUAGGCACUUUAGACGCUUCUUAGAAGUGAUUUAUGUCGUUUUCAUUAGUGCACCAGUAGGAAAUAUCAAUUUUACAUUUCCAAACAUUCCUUUUGCAAAUCUUGUAAUAAUCCAGUGGAAUUUUUAUAUGAACAAUGAGUCCUAAAACAGAUGAUAAGAAGCUGCAAACUGCCUUAAAACUGCGCACGUGUGCCUAGGAAAAAGCUGUUUAAAGCAAAGGGUGGUUACACCAAAUAUUAUUAUUAUUUUACUUAAUUUAAAGCAGCUGCAUGUAAUUUUGUGUAUUUUUGUGACUUUGGGGCCCCCUACAGUAAAAUGAAUACUCCAUCCCAAAAUGAAAAUUUUGUCAUUAAUCACUUACCCCCAUGUCGUUCCAAACCUGUAAAAGCUCCGUUCAUCUUCUGAACACAAUUUAAGAUAUUUUGGAUAAAAACCGGGAGGCUUGUGACUGUCCCAUAGACUGACAAAUAAAUAACAGUGUCAAGGUCCA
Cyprinus carpio (common carp) is the source of this 2750-nucleotide long non-coding RNA. Lineage: Eukaryota; Metazoa; Chordata; Actinopteri; Cypriniformes; Cyprinidae. The record is from Ensembl.